RNAcentral lists this long non-coding RNA (1642 nucleotides) under Citrus x clementina. RNAcentral describes it as "Citrus clementina (C. clementina) long non-coding RNA (CCLE_LNC004271)". The record is from RNAcentral. Lineage: Eukaryota; Viridiplantae; Streptophyta; Magnoliopsida; Sapindales; Rutaceae.
AAAUAAGAAUGAUAUUGUAAAAUUAUGAUGUUCCCUAAGCGUCUUAGUUAUUGUGAAAACAGUAAGAGACAAGUGAUAUAUAUUAUUUUAGUAAGAAGAAACUGGCAUCCGUUUUAUAAAUAUCACUUAUUUCAUACAUCAUUCAAGCUCCAAUGUUAGACGUUUAAUUCAUUUUAUAGGUAACUUUUAAAAAUUAACCUUUUACCAACUCUGUUGAAUAUUUCUUUAUUCGUUCAGACGCAAAGCAUUUAACAAUAAUUGACGAAAAUGCUACGCUACAUUGAUAGAAAUAGAAAAUGAUUGAAUUUGAUUGAGUUUAGGCCACACCAUGCAUAACAAACUCAAUUACCUAAAAGAUGAAGAUAAUUAAGCAUUCUUUUUCUUUGUUUCUUUGACAACAAACUUGUUGAUUAAAACAUCAAAUGAAUGAUUCAAUAUACGGUGCGUUUAUUAAAUGAGAAUCAAAAUGGGCUGGAAUCAAAAUAGAGGAAUGAGAAUGGGCUAGAAUAGAAAUGGGAAAUAGGAAUCAGAAUUAAUUGUUUACUUAAACUAUAUGAAUCAGAAUCGAAAUGAGUUAAAUAGUAACAAAUUACUAAAAAGUUAAUGAUAAUAAUAGUAGUAGCAGCAACAAUAGUAGUAAUAUUAUUAUUGUUAAAAUUAUUAUUAAUAUUUUAAUUAAUUAUAAUUUAUCAUUAACAAUAAUAAUAUUCUUUAAUAACAACAAUCAUCAUCAUCAUAAUCAUAACAAUCAAAAUCCAUAAUAGUCCAUUUUCCCAAAAAAAAAAUAUAUAUAUAACAGCAAUAAUCAAAAUCGAAAUCAUCAUCGUUAUCAACAGCGGCAGCAACAAAUCGUCAUCGUUAGCAGAUCAUCAUUAGAUUGGAAACGUAGCCAUUAGAGACGAAUUCGAAGAUGAAAUGGAGACAAAACGAGACAGGGACGAAACCGAGACGGAGACGAAAUCGAGAUGGCCCAAUGGAAAUGAAAAUGGUAACCAACUACUGUCCACAACCGACAGACCAGUGACGACAAAGAUGGUGGAUGAGUUUGACCGCUAUGGUGAUGGAAGCAGCUGCGAUGGCGUUCGGCUGGGAUCCUCGUGUGAGAGAGUUUAGGUUUUAAGGAUUUUUUGUUUUUAUUUUUCGCUAUUUAUAUUUUUUAUUUGAAGUGAGGGCAUUUUUGGAAUAAUAAAAAAUUAAUGGCGGCAGAAUGUAAAAUUUUGGGAAUGUAAGUCUGAUUCCCAAGUCCCCCAGAAAUUAAAGUCUCAUUCCUAAUUCCCAAAUUGUUGUGAGGCUCACCAAAUUCAUCAAGUAAACGCAAGUUUUAUUCCGAUUAUGGAUUCUCAUUCUUAAAUUCAGUAAGUAAAUGCACCAGUAAUGUGCGUAAGAGAAAAAAAAAAGUUAUGCUUAGUUAGUUAAAAUUUUUUUAUUAAAUUUGAUUAAGUUUAGGCCAGACCAUGCAUAACAAACUCAAUUAUCUACAAAACGAAGAUAAUUACAUAUUAUUUUCCUUUGGUUAUUUUUCAAUAAACUUAUUGCAAAAGAAUAGAAACAGAUUGGUUCGAUGCAAUGUAUAUAAGAGAAAAAAAUUAUGCUCAAUUACUAGAAAAAAGAGGAAGGUUGAAUUUGAUUAAGGUAGCAUUUA